GCGAACGCUGGCGGCAGGCCUAACACAUGCAAGUCGAACGAACCUUUCGGGGUUAGUGGCGGACGGGUGAGUAACACGUGGGAACGUGCCUUUAGGUUCGUAAUAGCUCAGGGAAACUUGUGCUAAUACCGAAUGUGCCCUUCGGGGGAAAGAUUAAUCGCCUUUAGAGCGGCCCGCGUCUGAUUAGCUAGUUGGUUGAGGUAAUGGCUCACCAAGGCGACGAUCAGUAGCUGGUCUGAGAGGAUGAUCAGCCACAUUGGGACUGAGACACGGCCCAAACUCCUACGGGAGGCAGCAGUGGGGAAUCUUGCGCAAUGGGCGAAAGCCUGACGCAGCCAUGCCGCGUGAAUGAUGAAGGUCUUAGGAUUGUAAAAUUCUUUCACCGGGGACGAUAAUGACGGUACCCGGAGAAGAAGCCCCGGCUAACUUCGUG
This 433-nucleotide ribosomal RNA is filed under the name uncultured bacterium. Its description in RNAcentral is "partial 16S ribosomal RNA". It matches the Rfam family "Bacterial small subunit ribosomal RNA", at positions 29 to 507 of the family's 1533-position model. The record is from RNAcentral.